AAUAUUGGACAAUGGGGGAAACCCUGAUCCAGCCAUCCCGCGUGUAUGAUGAAGGCAUUCAGGUUGUAAUGUACUUUUGGCAGAUAAGAAAUUGUAUCUCCUAAUACGAGAUACUGCUGACGGUAUCUGCAGAAUAAGCACCUGCUAACUACGUGCCGGCAGCCGCGGUAAUACGUAGGGUGCAAGCGUUAAUCGGAAUUACUGGGCGUAAAGCGUGUGUAGGCGGUUCGGAAAGAAAGAUGUGAUAUCCCAGGGCUGAACCUUGGAACUGCAUUCUUAACUGCCGAGCUAGAGUAUGUCAGAGGGGGGUAGAAUUCCACGUGUAGCAGUGAAAUGCGUAAAUAUGUGGAGGAAUACCGAUGGCGAAGGCAGCCCCCUGGGAUAAUACUGACGCUCAGACACGAAAGCGUGGGGAGCAAACA
This 422-nucleotide ribosomal RNA is filed under the name uncultured bacterium. RNAcentral's name for it is "partial 16S ribosomal RNA". It matches the Rfam family "Bacterial small subunit ribosomal RNA", at positions 360 to 774 of the family's 1533-position model. The record is from RNAcentral.